This 492-nucleotide ribosomal RNA is filed under the name uncultured bacterium. RNAcentral's name for it is "partial 16S ribosomal RNA". It matches the Rfam family "Bacterial small subunit ribosomal RNA", at positions 29 to 507 of the family's 1533-position model. The record is from RNAcentral.
AGUGAACGCUGGCGGUAGGCCUAACACAUGCCAGUCGAACGGCAGCACAGUAAGAGCUUGCUCUUACGGGUGGCGAGUGGCGGACGGGUGAGGAAUACAUCGGAAUCUACUUUUUCGUGGGGGAUAACGUAGGGAAACUUACGCUAAUACCGCAUACGACCUACGGGUGAAAGCAGGGGAUCUUCGGACCUUGCGCGAUUGAAUGAGCCGAUGUCGGAUUAGCUAGUUGGCGGGGUAAAGGCCCAACAAGGCGACGAUCCGUAGCUGGUCUGAGAGGAUGGUUAGCCAGAUGGGAACUGAGACACGGUCCAGACUCCUACGGGGGGCAACAGUGGGGAAUAUUGGACAAGGGGGGAAAGCCUGAUCCAGCCAUACCGCGGAGGUGAAGAAGGCCUUCGGGUUGGAAAACCCUUUUGUUGGGAAAGAAAAGCAGCAGGUUAAUACCCCGCUGUUCUGACGGUACCCAAAGAAUAAGCACCGGCUAACUUCGUG